AGGAACAUACUCGUGGUUUGUGGUGGAGUAAUUCCGCCGCAAGAUUAUGAUUUUCUCUUUGAGAAAGGCGUUGCUGCUGUUUUCGGUCCAGGUAUGUUUUCACGUUAAUUUGAUCUUUUAAAUUAUAUGUUCAAAAGCUGUGUAAAUCGAACAGUGGUUUGAUUGACACCUUUCGCCUCCAACACAGUCAACACUGCAAAUUGCAAUCACAAACAUUGACAUCACAGACCUAAUUCAGACUCCAACUCUCGCAAAAUAUCUCAAGAAACGGUUUUUGGAUUGAGGGUGUAACAGACACUACCGCUACCGUUACCGUUACCAUUAACUAAUCAGAUGCAUAUAUUAUUCUACCCAAUUAAACAAUUAAAUGUGUUGAGAGGUGAUGUUCGUUCAUUUGCACUUGAAAUCUCCAGAGUUGUUUCUACAAUUAUAUAUACAGUACUCUCCCAAACACCACAAACUUUCUUCCGUGUACUCCAAUGUCCCAGUAGUAGUUAUACAUUGAACCAAUUACUGUUAGAAUGUCCUGUUGGUUUAUCUAUGUGUUUUUUAAUGGCUGCCGAGUUUAUUAAUAAUUUAUUUUAAUUAUGCUUUAAGGUACAAGAAUCCCACAAGCAGCAAUGGAAGUAUUAAGGGCGAUCUCCCCUGAUGAGCAAGGUAGACAAACAAUGGCAUAAUUAAGACGUUGCGUUAAGAAUUCUACAAAUAGUUGCCGUGCAGUAGAUUGUCCAAGUGAGGUGAAGAACUCUGAAAAUACCUGUUGGUUGAAAUUACAUAAUCUAGGAACACUAACUAUAGAUGUAGACUACUGUAUGGCACGUUUCCUGUGAGGUUUAAGGAGGUUCCCUACAGUUUCCAAUAUAUGUCAGUGUUUUAAUUAAACUAAAAGCUAUUUGAAUCUAAAGCACAAGCCGUUGUUUCCUCUCAUAUAAAAGAGUAAUUUUAAACCACAGUUGCUAUUCUUUACGUUACCAUGACAACAUGACGUCACCAUCUAUAAGGCCUACAUCAACCAAACUUCUUUAUUUGAAAAUCGUCAGUGUAGUUUUCGAAAAACUGAAUUUCAGUCUUUAAGAUUGCAUUUUAGCCAUUGGAAAGGCUGAAAUUCAGUUUCUCGAAAACUACAUAGGCAAUUUUCAAAUAACUUUCAAAAAAGAUUCAAAACUUCAUAACAAUGUACUUUCUGUAUAUAUAUAUAUAUAUAUAUAUAUAUAUAUAUAUAUAUAUAUAUAUAUAUAUAUAUAUAUAUAUAUAUAUAUAUAUAUAUAUAUAUAUAUAUAUAUAUAUAUAUAUAUAUAUAUAUAUAUAUAUAUAUAUAUAUAUACAUAUAUAUAUAUAUAUACUAUAUUGGAAACUGUAGGGAACCUCUUUAAGUUGGACAAGGACACUGGCUUUGUUGCUAAAGACGGCCACAGGUCUUGGUUUAAUGUUUAAUGGUUUUGCAUUUCAGACUUUGCUUGCUUUGUAAACUACAUGUCAAUUAAUCUGCCGAGUUCUGUAAUUCUAACAGCUUAGUGGUAAUAUAUCCGUGAAGGAUGUGUACUGUGUAGCCUAAUAUUAUAUUUCCUUGCUUUGAAAUAUUGGAAAUAUUGUGUAUUCAUAUUUAAAAGAUAAUUUUGUUAUCAUUUAAAAUGCAUUCUCAUGUGCAGGAAAAUGUGCAAGUGAAAUAAAUUUUGCAAUUAAAGAUUUAUAUUAACG
This 1698-nucleotide long non-coding RNA is filed under the name Paramuricea clavata. Lineage: Eukaryota; Metazoa; Cnidaria; Anthozoa; Malacalcyonacea; Plexauridae. The record is from RNAcentral.